Molecule: ribosomal RNA, 306 nt
Filed under: uncultured bacterium
Lineage: Bacteria
Description: partial 16S ribosomal RNA
Rfam family: Bacterial small subunit ribosomal RNA
Source: RNAcentral
GACAGCAGCAGCCGCGGGAAUACAGAGGGUGCGAGCGUUAAUCGGAUUUACUGGGCGUAAAGCGUGCGUAGGCGGCUUCUUAAGUCGGAUGUGAAAUCCCUGAGCUAAACUUAGGAAUUGCAUUCGAUACUGGGAAGCUAGAGUAUGGGAGAGGAUGGUAGAAUUCCAGGUGUAGCGGUGAAAUGCGUAGAGAUCUGGAGGAAUACCGAUGGCGAAGGCAGCCAUCUGGCCUAAUACUGACGCUGAGGUACGAAAGCAUGGGGAGCAAACAGGAUUAGAUACCCCAGUAGUCCUGUCUCUUAUACA